ACGGAGGGAGCUAGCGUUGUUCGGAAUUACUGGGCGUAAAGAGCGUGUAGGCUGCUCUUGCAAGUCGGAGGUGAAAUCCCUGGGCUCAACCCGGGAACUGCCUUCGAUACUGCAAAGCUAGAGGAUGGGAGAGGGCAAUGGAAUUCCAAGUGUAGAGGUGAAAUUCGUAGAUAUUUGGAAGAACACCGGUGGCGAAGGCGAUUGCCUGGCCCAUAUCUGACGCUGAGACGCGAAAGCGUGGGGAGCGAACAGG
Molecule: ribosomal RNA, 253 nt
Filed under: uncultured bacterium
Lineage: Bacteria
Description: partial 16S ribosomal RNA
Rfam family: Bacterial small subunit ribosomal RNA
Source: RNAcentral